RNAcentral lists this transfer RNA (83 nucleotides) under Mycolicibacterium sp. P9-64. It matches the Rfam family "tRNA". From Rfam's summary of the family: Transfer RNA (tRNA) molecules are approximately 80 nucleotides in length. The record is from Rfam by way of RNAcentral. Lineage: Bacteria; Bacillati; Actinomycetota; Actinomycetes; Mycobacteriales; Mycobacteriaceae.
GCGGGCGUGGCGAAACGGAAAACGCACCGGCUUUAGGUGCCGGCGCUCGAAAGAGCUUGAGGGUUCGAUUCCCUCCGCCCGCA